CCCUGUGGUGCUAUUCCUCCACGGCUUCCCUGAGCUCUGGUACUCUUGGCGCCACCAGAUCUUGACUCUCAGCUCCCGCGGAUACCACGCAGUGGCUCCCGAUCUCAGAGGCUACGGUGACACCGAUUCCCCUAUUUCAAUAACAACCUAUACAUGUUUUCACAUAGUGGGUGACAUCGUUGCACUCAUAGACCAUUUGGGUGCCAAACAAGUCUUCCUUGUAGCUCAUGAUUGGGGAUCCAUCAUCGGUUGGUACCUCUGCAUGUUUCGCCCUGAAAGAGUGAAAGCCUAUGUUUGCCUCAGUGUCCCUUUUCUCCCCAGAAACCCUGAAAUCAGGACUGUUGAUGGCAUGCGCCAUGCGUAUGGAGAUGACUACUAUAUCUGCAGAUUUCAGGUUCUUCAAUUCAUUCUCAUUUACCUUUUUCUACAUGGAGAUCAGUCAAUUUGAUUUCUGAGAGUUAACAUUAUAGGCACGAUGUUAGGAAUAUUGUAAAAAAUUAGGACCUUAAUUUUAUAGAGGCAAAUGGAUACUCAAUUUUGGUAAUCCAACAAAAAUUACAUUUUGAACUAAUAAGUCCAUUGUAUAAACAGAAGUUAAUGUAGAUUUUGAUUGAUGCUGAUGAUGGAUUAGGAAGUUAAACUAGAAGUUUCUGGGAAAUGAAGUGAGAACUUGAUUAGUGUAAUCAUAAUUGUUUUUGUGUGACAGGAGCCAGGGGAAAUGGAGGCUCAGAUGGCUGAAGUUGGAACUGAAUAUGUGCUGAAAAAUAUCCUUACAACUCGGAAACCUGGUCCUCCAAUCUUUCCCAAAGGAGAGUAUGGAACUGGAUUCAAUCCAGAUACCCCUAAUACCCUGCCCUCUUGGCUCACACAAGAGGAUCUUGCUUAUUUUGUCUCCAAAUUUGAGAAAACUGGUUUCACUGGAGGACUGAACUAUUACAGAAACUUGAACUUGUAAUUUUCUAAUUCCCUGUUCUGCUUUGAAAUUAAUGUUUUUUUUUUUUUUGGGGGGGGGGGGGGGAUAGUAUCAAUUUGUAGAGAGCUACAAAAUUCCUGAAAACUAAAGACAAUGAGUUUUGUUGUGUUGUGCUGUGUGGAUGAAUUUGCAGAAAUUGGGAGCUGACAGCACCAUGGAGUGGAGGGAAAAUCAAUGUGCCUGUGAAGUUCAUAACAGGAGAGUUAGACAUGGUGUACACCUCUCUAAACAUGAAGGAGUAUAUUCAUGAUGGAGGAUUCAAAGAAGAUGUGCCAAAUUUGGAGGAAGUGAUUGUGCAGAAAGGAGUGGCUCACUUCAACAACCAAGAGACACCAGAUGAAAUUAGCAAUCACAUAUAUGACUUCAUCAAGAAGCACUGAUCUGGUCCAAAAAUUGAAAUAAAUAAAUUUAUUGUGGCUAAUAAUAAGGGAAGGGAAAUUAUGGAACUGCACUAGCACGAAUGGCCGUGAGUAGUUUAUCUUUGGUCUACCAUUGUAUUUUAACAAAUAUAUAAAUCUUUCAUAGUUUUUCAUUGUUAUUGGCACAUUUUUUAAAUUUUUAUCCACCCAAAGUUUAUCAGCAAAAGGGGCCUGCCACUGAUAUUUUGGGGAAUAUCAUGACAAAAACGAUGUCGCACUAAAAACAAAUACCAUCCCUUUCAAUACAUUUAUUAUUUAAGCCUUAAAGUUACUAUUAAAAAUAGAUUCUUUAUUAAAAUGUCUUUAUUAAUACUUAUUUAUGUCAUUUAUUAAUCUUUUAAGUUUACACAACUAACACCUACUAUCUCUCUCUUUCACAAAGAUUAUUGUUUAAAAUUGUGACACGUAAGGUGACAAUUAUUAAUAAUAUAAUGUAACUAAAGUAUCAUUAUUUAAAUUUACUAGUAUCAUGUGUAACUAUUAAAUUCUACUUGAAUAGAAUUGCAACUUUGGUCGCUGACGUGAGAAAAAAGAGUUGUGGUUGAUUAAUAAAGAGUUGUGGUUGAUUAAUAGUAGUAUGAAAAAUGAUGAGUGAGAAAAAAAAGGCUUAAUUGCAACUUUGGUCGCUGAUGUUCACCAAUUCUACAAUUUUAUUCCCCCACCUAAUUUAAUUACACGGAUGGUCCCUGACUUUGAUGCUCGUCUGCAAUGUUGGUCCUGCCGUUUAUUUGUUAACGGAGGAGGCUUACGUGGAUGUCUAAUUGGAGAGAGAAAGAAGGACUGAAGAGAGAGGGAAGCACGUGAGUUGCACGUGAGACCUGCAACGGUCAUCUUCUACCCUCUUCCUCCUUAAAAAACAGAGCAUAGUGUGGAAGAUGUUUCGAAGCUUGAGAUUUAGCGAAAAAGGAAGAGAUAAAGAACGAACGAGCCCCUAGAGGUGAGGAAGAAGGUUGAAUCAGUUGCUGGUCUCUUUCUCUCUCCAAUUCAACUUCCACAUCAGCUAAGUGACUAUCCACGUAAACCUCCUCCAUUAACAAACAAACGGUAGGACCAACGUUGCAGACUGCCAGCAAAGUCAGGGACCAUCUGUGUAAUUAAAUUAGGUGGGGACUAAAAUCGUAGAAUUGGUAAACGUCAGGGACCAAAUUUGCAAUUAAGCCCAAAAAAAUAUUAAAUGAGGGUGUAGAUCGAAAAAAAUUAGCAAAAAAAUACAUUGACUUUCUAAAACAACAAACAUUUUAGAAUAUUGAAGAGUGUAUAAAACAAUUGCAACAAAGCGAGUAUCAAUGUUUACACAUUAAUCCAUCAAAGGGAAUAAGCAGGUUGACUGCUUCACACAAAAGAGUAGUUUUACGGUACCUCACCUUAGUGGACCAAUAAAAAAAUUAGUUUACCUAAUGUGAUAAAAUUAUCCUUAAUUGGUGAUUUAAUUUAGACAACCCUAUAAAAUAAUAAUAGAUUAAGGUAAAAGAUGGCAGAAAAAUUAAGGAGUCAAAAUUAAGAGUAGUGCUAUUUAGACCUAAGGAUUUGGAGUAAAGAUUGCUGAUGGAGAAAAAAAAAAAGGACUUGGAGUAAGUAACUUACGAAUGAUGACAUGUAAGAGCAUCUCCAAUGGAGUCAUUAUUUUGGGAUCUUAAAAUAAGAUCCAGAUCUUAUUAAAUCUCACCAUUGGAGCUAUCCUACAUGACAUGAGAUCUUAGCAAAAGCUAAGAUCCAUGCCUUAGCUCAGGUACUCUUAAAUCUGGGAUCUUAAAUAAAAUAAUAUUUUUUCGCUCUCCUUCUAUACUAGAACCAAAGUGAAAAAUAGGGAGGGAAAUAAAUAAUAUAAAUAUAUUGGGUAUCGUGGGUUUAAUCAAAAGUAAAACAAGAUCUCAACCAGUAAAGUGAUAUGUGCAUGUGGACCUUAUGAGUGUCUUAAAUCCUAUGUGACAGUUUGGACCCACAAAAAGUGAAUUAAGUCCCAAAAUAAGAUCUCAUCAUUGGAGAUGCUCUAAGUUUCUAAUUAGUGGUAAUAACACCAUACAAUAGUGGAUUGGAAAAUACUUAAUGAUUGACCAAUCAAAACCGUUAGUUGUGUUAUGCGAACUAUCGUUUUGUACUCAAGAGCAUUUUCCCAAAAUUAAUAGAAGAGAAAAUGGAUAUUAGGGACUUAGACAAGAAUUUUAGACAAGAUUUUAAUAAAAAUUAGAAUAUUAAUAUUUUUUCGUGUUAAAACCUUUUUUAUAUGCGAAUGUUAGUUGUUAAUUGUUAGUAAAUUAAUUUCUUCAUCAGGAUUUAAACUUUGACCCUUCGCCCUGCAAUCCCUACAUUUCUCUUAGCUCACCGACAUAUAAAAAAUGAUAAGAGUAUUCUUUAAAUGGUAGUACAAGGAUUUGUAGAAAGAUAUAGCACUCCUCUUUAUUGGCUUACUCUGAAAAUAACUAUUACCUCGAUUCUAAAAUGUUGGGGUAUGUUUAUUGGUUAAGGUUAUAUGCAUUAGGGGUCGGGUCGAAUAUAACAUUUCUAAUGGAUUUUGCUUGGCACAAUAUUUUAAUCUAAGUGUACAAUGAUGUAAAAAAUAAAUCUAAGUGUACAAUGAGAUGCAUUUCUAGUUUUCUACUAUAAUAUUUUAUCAAAGAUACCUGAUUGCUAGAAGAUUGGAGCUUUUAUGACAUGGAAUCGAAAAUCUCUAUAUGAUGUUAAUGUAGGAAAUUAUAAUCCUCCGUGCACAAUUUUUGCAUACGCAAAGGCAAUGCAUGUUUUGAAGCUAGUGGGUGCAGUUGUAAGUGUUUGUCUUUCAUCAAACCAACUAGUUUGUCAAACAUGCACCCGUCCAUAAAUCCUAAGAAGUUGAUGACGUGAAAAUGUAUUAGACUCGAGUCAGACAAGUUAAUAGACCGAUCCGAGUCCUAUACAUUCAUAAUAUGCAUAGUUUAAGUACUCAUUGUGAGAUUUUUAUUCUCACUUGAUGUAAAUGUCAUUAAACAACUCUUUAAUUUUAAUCUAAGCAUCUUUAAAAACAAAAAAGAAGAAGAAGAAUAUUUUGGCCCCCAUUUUCCUCCUAAUAGAGAAAGCAUAAGCAAGGCAUAUGUAAUUAUUCGAUCUAAACAUUUUAUUCUACACCUAAUCUAAUUAGACAAAUAAGAAAAGACUACCUAAAGUAACAUUAGUUUAUUCUCUACCUUCUGCAUAACAAUAGAUUUUAGUAAUAAUAUUCUUGUUUCAAUUUCAAAAUUAAAACAAUUUGUCUCUGGACAUGAAGCGCAUGAGGUUACUUUGUUCCUUAAUGUCCCUGAGCUCAGGGAGCAUUUACCGCUUAAAACUUGCACUUAAGUGAAGAGAUUAGUCAUAUUGUUGUUGGCCGUGGAAAUUAAGCUAAGAAAAAAACUAAAGCCACUAAAUAAAAUUGAAACAUAUGCAUAAUAAAUUAUUGAACACUACUAGCAUGUAGCAAGGGUUAUCAAAAUCACCUAUCUCUUAAUAACUUUACUAAAUCGUUAUGGACAAAUUAAAUGAUAAAUAUAAGAUAUAUAAGUAGGUUGAGAAUUUUAUAAUUUAUUUCUUUAUUUUUCAUAAAGAAUUUCAUUGAUCCAUAAAAGCAGGAUAAAGUUAUCAUCAUUUGUGGUUUAGACAAAUUUCAUUCAUUAUUAAUAUGUGUAUGACCAAAUGCAUACAUCUAUUUCCUCUCUUUUUCUCUCCAUCUCUUUUAGUGAUCAUAUCACAGUACUAUACUACUUCUAUUUCUCUAUUAUCUAAAUCAAAUUUUAUUGACUAGUAAUAUUCCUAGUUUAAUGUGUAACAAUGCCUUGUCGUACAGUUUCCCGGCCAUGACUAAACCGUGAAAGCUGAACCACAUUCCUAGUUAAAUCCGUCAACAACAACAUCUCUUUCUCAUUCUCUCCCUCUCGUGAUAGUAAUAUAUAUCACUGUCCACAGUCCUCACCGCACAGCACACAAAGCACCAUGGAAACCAUACAACACACGACGGUGGAAGCCAACGGCAUCAAAAUGCACGUGGCGGAGAAAGGCCAAGGCCCCGUCGUGCUCUUCCUCCACGGCUUCCCGGAGCUCUGGUACACGUGGCGCCACCAGAUUCUCUCCCUCAGCGCCCUCGGCUACCGCGCCGUCGCGCCCGACCUCCGCGGCUACGGCGACACCGACGCCCCCGCUUCCGUCACCAGGUACACCUGCUUCCACAUUGUCGGCGACGUCGUUGCGCUCAUCGACUCGCUUGGCGUCGACCAGGUCUUCCUGGUGGCGCAUGACUGGGGAGCUAUGAUUGGGUGGUACCUCUGCUUGUUCCGCCCUGAGAAAAUCAAAGCCUAUGUUUGCCUCAGUGUUCCUUUCAUGCCCAGAAACCCCAAAGUCAAGCCUGUUGAUGCCAUGCGUGCUUUGUAUGGAGAUGAUUACUACAUCUGCAGAUUCCAGGUUCCUCUUUCUUCUUCGUCUUUUUUUUUAAGUUCACAUGAGAACUAAUCUUCAGUUCCACUGUCAGCCACACUAUGCAAGAGUAACCAAUAAUUUUUUUUCCAUACGUAAGAAUUGAAUAAUGUUACUUUCAUACCUCACUUUGAGGUGGAAAAAGAUAGAAUGAGGAGAGAGAUAGAGAGAAAGUAUGAAAUAUGAGUAGAAAUGAAGUGUUUAAAAAAUGAAGUGUGUAAAUAUCAUUAUUGGUAAGAAUUAAGAAUUAAACGCCCAACUUUUUCAUCCACUUACUUAGAGUGCUGAAUUACUAUGCUACCCACCCAUUUGGUUUCUUUCUUUUUCUUAUAAUAAUUCUAACAAUAAACUCACUUUACCCAUUUUUAUUCUUUUGCUAUAUUUGUAACUAUAGUUAUUGUUAUACUUAAUUGUGAUAAAUUAAUAACACGCCAUUGAAAUAUUCUCUCUAACUAACCAUGGUAAAGAUUUUAAUUUGUGGUUCUUGGAGUGGAAUGCAAUUGUGGCCGCGCGCUUCAUGCGAUAAGAUUUCCAAUUUAGUAUCCGGAGGUUUUGACCUUUAAAUGAUCGAUGUCUUUGGAAAUUAGAUUUUGUAUCAAGUUUGAUUCUACUUCUACAGUAUAAACGUGAUUAUGUAUAUUCAAUCUGAGAACAAUACACAUGAAGGAGUGAAGAGAUUUAGGUGUGAUUAAAUUCUGAAUUUAGAAUAGUUGACCUAUGACCAAGAAUAUACUGGGUGGUUUUAAUAAAAAUCCCAAAUUGUAAGAAUAUAUAAUUUUCUUAGAUGUAAAUUAUUAAUUGUGUUAGAAAUAUAAGCAUUCAUGUGUCAUUUACAAAAUAGUUUGAGCUUUUGUGUAAUUAGUUGUUUACAUGGUAUCAAAGGUUCUACCACUAAGUUAUUUGGAGUUUGAUUCUUGUCGUCCUAAAUUCUUCUAAUAAAAAGAAAAAAAAAAUGAAUUUCAGCUUUAAGCCCAAGUGGGCUCUUGUACAAUGUUGUGUGUUAAAAACAUUAUUAUUCAUGUGUCAUUUACCCAAUAACUUAAAUUUUAGGAAUAAUUGAUUAUUUAUGAUAAAUUAUUGUAUAUCUUGUAUCUUAUGCUCAAUUAAUUCAUGGGAUAGGAGCCAGGCAAAGCUGAAGCUGAACUGGGUAAAGUUAGCACUGAGUUGGUAAUAAAAAACGUGCUCACUGGUCGCCGGCCUGGUCCACCAAUCUUGCCAAAAGAAGGGAUGGGGUCCAAUCCAGAUGCUACGAGACCCCUUCCCUCUUGGUUAUCACAAGAAGAUGUGGCUUAUUACGCUUCCAAAUUCCAAAAGACAGGCUUCACUGGUGGCCUUAACUACUAUAGAAACCUAAAUUUGUAAUAUCCUAUUUAAUUUUUGUCUUUCCCUUCAUGCAACUUGGAUGAUCAAUAAAUGAUUUUUUAUGUUGUUUAAAUAUGUAUAUCUUGUACUUGUUGAUAGCAUAUUCAUUCUUGUAUUUUCAGAAAUUGGGAGCUAGCAGCAGCUUGGACUGGAGCACAAGUUAAAGUGCCCGUGAAAUUCAUCACUGGUGACUUGGAUGUAGUGUACACUUCACUAGGGAUGAAGGAUUAUAUAAAUAGCGGUGCUUUCAAGAGAGAUGUGCCAAAUUUGGAGGAAGUGGUUAUACAAGAAGGGGUGGCUCAUUUCAACAACCAAGAAGCAGCUGAAGAAGUCACUAAUCACAUUUAUGAUUUUAUCAAGAAGUUCUAAUCUUAUUAACUACUCAUUUGUCUCUGCUCACACAGUUUGAUUAAAAUAAAUCGAUUACCACUAUGUGGCUAUGCAUGUGCUACUUGGGCAACUUGAUGUUACGUACGUUUGCAGGCUCGUUGAUUAUUUAAGCUUUGUUUUUGUUCGUGAUCGUGACAUUGUGGAAACUGGAAAUGUACCACUCAUUCGAAUAGUUUACUUGUCUAGAUCGCAGUCCUGAAGUUAUAAUUUAUUUGAUUUUGUUAUGUUGCUUGAAAUUAUGCUCGGAGCUGAAGUUAUUUAAAGGAAGGAAUAUAAUUCAAAUCGUGAUUUGAGAUUUUGGUAAUCAUAAGGAAUUCUUUACACUAUGUGGUGGACCCUCAUUUAGGUAAAGCUUGACUAAUAAUCAAGAACAUGAGAAAUUUGGGGUCAAAUUGUUUGAAAAAUCAUGAAGUACUACUCCAGUUUUAAAAUUAUUUAACUACGAAGCGCAUGAAUUUGGUAGGAGUAGUAGAGGACUUAUUCUAUUUCUCGUACAAAAACAAAGUGUGCAUUGGGGGUCGGACUACAGUAUAGUGCAACAAGUCCUGCAAUUUAUACUCCCUCCGUUCCUAAAUAACUGGUAUAAUUUUGGCUAAAUUUUUGUUCCUAAAUAAUUGACACUUUACAAAGUUCAAGAGUGCAUUUAUUUAUUUUUACCUAUUUUACCCUUCAAUUAAAACUCUUCGUAAUUACCCACACAAUUAUCCAAGAAUGAAUUGUUGAUGGUUCCCAUAAUAGUAGAGUAAAUUACUUGAACCAAUUCCAAUGUCAACAAUUACUACUUCAGAUGACAAACGAAAGGGCAAAAAGACUCGUGUGUAUCCAUUCCAAUAUUUAAACCAAUAAAAGUAGAAUAUCUCAACACUAUUCCAAUUCAUAUGAAAUAGAAAUUACAAUGGGUGCAGUGAAGAAUGAUUUUGGUACACAAAUGUAUGGAGGUAAAGAGUUCAACAGUUUUUUUUAUUGAAAACAUGAAAUAUGAAGCAACCAAAAGACAUGAGUAAAUGGGUUAGCAUAAUUUUUUUAAUGAACACAGAUGUGAAAAGAGAAUAUGGAGUACGAAGGUUUAUCUUCAUAAUUCACAUUGGAUAUAGGAGUAUGAAAAUGAGUACACUAAAUGAGUAGAAUAAUCAAGUAAGUCUCAUUUAAUGGUGUAAAAUGAUGAGAAAAUUUAUGAGCAGGUGAGAUAAAGGGUAAUAUUGGAACACAAUGAGUAAUUUUAAUAGAAUAAUUGCAUUUCUUAAUAAGUGUGUAGAAACCUUAAAGUGUCAGUUAUUUAGGAACGGAGGUGUAGUUGUUAAAAGUCUUGGCCCGCGGGCCCUGUCCAUGGUAUCUCCAUCUCAUUUAUUAAAGUAGAUUCCCUCAGUGACCAAAAAAAAAAAAGUAGAUUCCCAUGCACGCUAAAUAUGUGCACUAAGAAAAUAGUAAACAUUUAAAAAGAACUUGUGCUGCCAUCACCCCAUUGGCUGAUAGGGGAUCAAUCACUAAUGCACCCAUUUAAGAUGUUUCCAGGCAUUAGUAUGUGCACUAAUAAAUGUGUUCAUCUAUUCGAUUAAAUACUUUCAUAUCCUGAUUAGACUUUUGAUCAUAACAAGGAACAACUAGUCAUGAAGAGAACAACUAGUCAUAAAGAUAAGACUUUUAUUGGUUUUAAUUUCUUUAUAUAUCUUGUGUAUGUUUAGACUUUGAUAUAUAAGUUAAGUGUAUAUAACUUAAACAAACCUUCAUCUUAAUUUAUAAAAAAAAUGAUUUUUUUUAAUUUUAAAAUGCAUGCUAAUAUUUAUUUACAUUGAUGCUGACACAUAUUACAAACAGUUGCAAGCAGUGUUUUAAGUAGGGGUGUACAAGGAACGGGUUGGGACCGGUUUUGGUUAAUCCUAACCCGGCCCUAAAGAUUGAUCGGGCCAAUUCAUAGACUCUAACCCGUCCCUAGACCCGAAGCAACCCGACAUUAUGCGGGUCCAAUUUAAGACGUGUCUAUGUAUGACGGGACCGGGUUGGCCCGGAGGUCGACAAUAAGUUUAAGACUAUUUGAUACUAAUUGUAAAAUUUAAAGAUAAUAACAUACUAAAAGAGUUACAAGUUGAAACUAUUUUUUGGAAGAAAUAACUUGAAAGGGUCUAAUUCUUUCAUAAUCUAUUGCACUUGAGGUUUGCAUUUUGUUUGAUCAUUUCUUCACCUGUCUCACAUAUGCAUAAUACACACACAUGAUUUUCUCUUGUUAGAACAUGAAAGUGUGCAUAGUUUGACAAAUGUUUAUUUAAUUCAUAAGGUGUUAAACAUUUUAAUCUCAUCUACAUGGCAAGAUAAAUUUGAGCACCAUGUAUCGCAUUUUAAUAAUUAUAACAAAUUAAAAUUUUAUAAAAUAUAUAUGUGGGACGGGCCGGGUGACCCGAGUGUCAACCCGAACCCGACCCUACCCGAAGUUGGGUAACUCAAAGAUCAACCCGAACCCGGUCUCUUUUAAUGAUCGGGCCGGGUUCAACCCGGCCCUAAAGACUUGGACCAGGACGGGUUGGCGGGUAGAGCCGGGUCUUGUACACUCCUAGUUUUAAGACUCGGCUCGGUGGUCGACUCGGCCGGGGUACUGAGUCAAUGAGUCACAGGUCGGACCAGUGGGUCAAUGGACGGACUGCUUGACUCGGUCUAUAUUAAAAUAUUCUAAAAAUAACCAUUGCAAUGUGAAGUUAAGGUAUAUAUUUUAAAAAACGUAUGUAAUAAUCAAAUAGCAUCUUGGUUCAUUGGUACAUGUUUUCCAUUAUUUCAUACAGGUCCCGUGUUCGACUCCUCCUCUCACCAGAUUUUAAGUAUUAUUUCACGUUUUUUGUCUACUUCAUCAUGUUAUUAGCAGAAUUCAAAUAAAAAAGACCCACUGUACCAAAAAAUUGUUGUUAACAGACUUUAAAAAAAUAAUGAAAGACCCAUUGUAUUAAAUAAUUAUUAGCCAGCUCCACUCCAGUCUAAUUGGGCCUCACAUGUAAGCAUGACCCAUUAACAAAAGAUUUAAAAAAAAAUGGGUGACUCGCUAGUCUGACUGAAAGUCGACCGAGUCACCGUUCAAUUGAUGAACCGGCCGAGUCAAACUGGUUCCGACCGAGUUGCUUGCAUAACCGAUCUGAUAAGAGGCUCAGACCGGUCAAGUGACCGAGUCCCCGUCCAACCGGUUGGACCGGCCGGUCCGAGCCGAGUUUUAAAACUAUGGUUGCAAGUUAAACAAAAUUGGCCUAGUUGGUGGGUCCAAUCGAGAUAUAGUAGUCUCCUAGGUUUUACUUUGCAAAAAAGAAUGAAAUAUUAUAUUUUUAUGAUUCAAUGGUACUUAAGUACGAAAAAUACAUUUAGGAUUGAUUUACUAACUUCUCUUAAUCAAUAAGUAAAACAUGUAUAUAACAGUAAAAAAGAAAGAUAAUAAGUAAAAAUAAAGUGAAAGAGAGUGAUUUAUAAAAGUUAUUUUAGAAAGUCUUCUUGCAUUAGUUGGCAAGUGAAAGAUUUAAAGACUAAUCUCUUAUGAUACGUGUACUAAAAAAUAUGUGCACUAAAAAAAUAAAUUUGACAACAUUUUGGUGAGGAGAAAAAUGAUUAAUUGGUAUCUGUUAACCAGAACAAUGAGAGGCUGGUGCUUUGGUAACUUGGAAUAACAGUGGCUUUGAAUGAGCGAUUGUGAUUACUUUAUAUUCACUGGACAUAAUUCCAGAUUUAAAACUGAUUAUUGUAUAGAAAUCCCACAGCCAUUCUUGAUCCAAUCUUCUAUAUUAUUUAUCUGUGUUUCCUGCCCAAUAAUUUCAUACACAAAAUACAAUGGAAAAGAUUAUUAUCAUCAGUCAUGUCAGUUCUUGCAAUAUUUUCCCCUUUUUUUAGUAAAGAAGAAUUUAGUGUUGACAAAGAACAUAGAAUUAAUGAAAGAACAUAUUUGGAUGGUAAAGAUGUGAUAUCGAUAGUAGCAGUUGCUGGAAACGUGCUUUUUCUGUUAUUGUUUAUUUUGUCUGAGAUAUUCAAAAUCUGUCUGAUGCAGAAUUCCGUGGCUGAAGCUGCAAGUGCGACACAGGAUCAAGUAGGGGGAUCAGUUGGCCAAGGUUACAAAGCAUAUCCAACAAAUGCUCCUGUUUAUGCAUCUCUACCCUCUAGCACCGGCGACCAUACAGGCCAUGCACCUUCUGCAGAUUAUGGCUCCAUGUAUGGUACCAAUUAUGGUUAUUAAGAUCCUUACAUUCAAUUUUUGCCGAGGAAUCUAGUGUAAUAAGAAAAUUCAAUGCUUAAUUUAUUUGAAGGAAUAAAGAAAAUAGAAAGUACUCCUGAUAUUUGAAAUUUGAACUUGGGCUGACAAGCCACAUUUUGAGGAUAGAUUGGUUGAUACCUUUGACAGGAAAUAGAUGUUUUAAAGUAUUUAAGAAUACUUCAUUCAAUAUAAAUUUCUCAACAUACAUAUUUGAAAUGCUAGAGAUACAUGAGAAAAAGAAAAGUAAAAGAUGCGUGGGCUUCAUGUGUAGAUAACAAAAUUCGCUUCAAGCAAAGAAAAAUCCAGCCCACCAUAAACAUUUUUUUAUUAAAAAAGUAUCUUAAAACAUCUUAAUUUUUUUUAUAUUUUUGUCUAAAUGUAAAACUAUAUUUGUUCCUACCAAAAUAAGAAAAAGAGAUUAUCACAUUUCUUUUUCUUCAUUUUCUCUUAUUUUUCAUAAAAAAAUAUCAUGAUCUUCUCAAUUUCUCAUUAUUUUCUCUCAUAAAACCAAACGCUUAUAGACUUCUUGAAGCUUAUAGACUUCGCGAACCUUAAAAUAUUUGCUGGCAGAAAGGCACGUAAACUGUCUUAUAAACAGUGUUAUUAAACUCGACUCGAUGAUCGACUCGGUCAAGGGAUUGAAUUAAUGAGUCAAUGGUUCAACCGGUGAGUCAAUGGUUCAACCGCUUGACUCGGUAUAUAUUAAAAUUUAAUUAUAUACUUACAUAAAACUUAAGUAUUAGUAUAAAAAUGGUAAAGCAUAUAAAAUAAUAAAAUAUAAAAAUCUGUACGGUCAAUUGUAUUUGAAAUUAAAUAUCCUAUACUUAACUUCUAUUCUUAAGAUUAUUAGUAUUUUGUAGUGUACAUUAUUACUUAUUGGUUAGAUUUAAGAUUAAUUAAGCACGGGCUUAGAUACUAGUUUUGUGACAAGAAAGAAAAAAUGUGGGCUAUAAAUACGCUUGGUUCAUGGACCCUUGGUUCACUUCAUAUGUCAAUGGCGUGAAUGAAAUUAAUUUUCAAUAAAGGCGUUUUCUUCCGGCUGCUAUAUAACUAAUCUUUUCAAAAUUUGAGUUGUGUUUGCUGUUUGAAUUGAUGAAGUAUAAUGAAGUCGAUUAGAGCCAAAUAUAAUGGAAUUGAGUAUAGUGAAAUGGAACAAAUAUUAUUUGGAUAGUGAGCGGAAUUACUUAUAACUUUUUGGGGUCAGUUUAGUGGAUAUGAUAAGAUAAUAGUAAUCAUAUCCUCUUGUAAUAUCUCAUUUUUUUGUGUCAGCAGGAUAGAAUAACAUUAUCUUGUCAUUUAUCCUAUCAUGUCUAAAAGUUAUCAUGAGGGGAGAGUUAGGAUAGAAAUUAUCCUGACAUGAUAUGAUAUCAAUUUAUGAAUAUUAUGAAUUUUUGUUUUAAGGGAAAAUUUGAUACAUUUUUCAUUGUUUCUAUCGAAUCUUAUCUAUAUCAUGUUCAUCUCAAACGCAAUAUAAGAUAUAUAUUUAUUGUAUGAUUUUGAAAUAUUAAUAUAAAUCAAAAAAAUCAUUUGUAUUAAAGCAACUUAUCCAAUGUAAAAAAAUAUAAUUCUUUAUAUAUUUUGUGGACAUAAGCAAUGAAAUAUAUCAAUCAAGAAGUCUAUUAUUGUGAGAUGUGAGAGUAUCAAAUCGUGAGUGUAUAAUCAUAAAUGGGUGGUUUAAAUUUAAUAUCAUUUAAAAUUAUUUUGAUGUAAAAUGUUCCUCCCGUGGGAGCUUUUCUAAAUUAUAAUUUAAACAUAAAUAAAUAUAUACUAUAUAUAUAUUCUAAUUUUUUUAUGAUAUAUUAUGAAAAAGAUAAUAAAUAGAGCUUUUCUAUUUGGACGAUUCUCACUUAGGAUCUCAUAUAUUUUUCAAGUAGUAAAAUCUUAUAAAUCAUUGUGCUUAAUUUGCAAGAGAUGUGCUUAAUUUGGAUACAACGUGGAGUCUUCCUCACCAAAACAUGCCCUAACCAGUUAUGCUUCUUCUUCUUAAUGAUCUUCGAUAGCAUUAUGUUAAGAUUUAAGAGUUCAGUUUUCCAAUCAAACUAAACAAAAAGGAAUUAUAUAUUUUCAAUGGAAUUCCUUUUUUUUUAUCCAGUUUUUUAUUCUUCUUAAAAUAUAAAAAAUAUAUUAGUUAUAGCAUGAAAAUUUUUAAUUUCUUAAACCCCGUUGCUCUCGUGGGAGUUUUUAAUAUAUAUUACUCCCCGUGAAAGUAUUUUCACUAUCCAAUGCACCCAUUGAGAAAUUGUUAAUCACUAUUUGUUAAUCACUUUCUGAUGAAAUGUGGGAUUGUAGUUCAUAGGCCUCCAUCUCACAAAAACAAAAUAGCAUGAAACAAUAAAAGCCCUCCCUUUGUUAAAUGUUUUGCAAAUAAACUUGAGUUCAUAAAACAACACGAUGAAGUAGCCAUUUAAGCUUGUAAGUGCUUUCACUCUAAUGAGUUCAAAUGAAAUCUUUGGCAAUGUUUCUCGCUGCCACCUAAAAAAGAGAAUUGGAUAAAUAAAAAUGUUCAUACAAACCAGAUCUUUCUUUCUCUAAUCCAAUUCUUUGAGCAUAGUCGAUUUUCAAGCUUCAAGGGAUAAACUCCAAACCACAAAAUAUAUUGCAAGCCACAAAAAAGAACUAACAGCAUACACUAAUUAGUAUUCUAGAUAAAUGAUGAAACGUAGGGCCAGAUUCUAGAACUUUCAAAAAGCUCAUGUUUUUUUAAAAGCACAAGCAUUCAAGUAGAGAGGAAGAACUUGAAGGACUCUAUGUGUCAUUUAGUACUCAACAACAAAGACAAACAUAGAUGAAAGAUUAUUCAUACUAAAACUAUACUUAAUGUAGUUCAAAUAUGAAAUCAGUAAUUAAUUACAAUAUAAGCAUAGAUGAAACAGAAAAACCAAGAUACAAUAGUUUCCUACCACUGCUGAGCUUGACAAUGAAUUCCAGUGAUAUGCAAGUAAAAAAUAUCAGAAUCUAAAAAAAAGGGAAUUGAUUUGACCAGAAUUCAUUAGUAUAUAUUUCUUUCUUGUGCAUUCACAGUUCACACACCCAAUUUCCAAAGACAAUCAUAACUAACCAUUAGUGUUACUUCAUAAUCAUAAAAAACUAAGCCAUCAAAAUGCUAAAAUAAAACCUUUUCUAAUGUUACAGAUGUUAGUGUAUCAAUUCAAUAUCUGCAUAAGCAUUACCUGCAACCUCUUAAUUCCUGGCACUUGAAAUUCAAAACAGUUCAUGGGAACCUUUAAGAUAACAAUCCUCAACAGUUACAUGUUACGGUUCUCAUUCAUUAUUUUUUAUAUAAGCAAGAAGAUAUAUCUCAUCAUGAGACACCGAACAUUCUCCGCAUUUAACUAAACCCACGUUCAACAAAAAGCUGGACAUGCAAUUCAGAGACAACAAAUCUACAAACCAAAAGAUUGUUUGAUAAAUGAGCAAACAUAAGCUCACUACAAAAUACUUAGAAAAAAAAUCCUCACAGCGAAGUUGUUCCAAGAAACGUGAUCUCAAAAUUAUAUUAUUCUAGUGGAGCUUCCAAUUCCCUCUCUAUCUCGGCUCUGACAUUUCCUCUCCCAAUAGCAUAUCAUAUGAACCUAGCAACAUAAACUUGUUGAGAAAAGGAAAAACAAAAGUUUCUGCUCAACCACUUUUGUGAUUCUUCAGCUGGCAGCAUAGUAGAGUCAGUGGUAUCAACAUGCUGCACUAACUGAAGAUGAAAAAUCAUAUUAGAUAGGAAAUAAUCUACAUGACCAUAAUCAUUGAAGCAAAAGAGACAUUCAAUAAUUGAAGAGCUAAUAAUAUACCAUUGCCUUCAGAUCUAAUUCUUUCACCCAAAAGCAUCUCUCUUCCAAAUGCUUAUGUUUCUAUCAGUUGAUCCACUGCACAAUCCAAAUAGAAACAGAAAAAGAAGAAAUUGUAAAACCCUUGAUAGCAGAUACAGAUUGAGUAUAGUAAAGACGAUAAAGAAUAGUCAAUUCUGCACAAUCCAGAUGCAGAUUGAGUAAAGUAAAUUCUGUCUCAUAACUUGGGACAAUAACUAACCUCCUAACCAUUUCGAAUUCACUAAAAAAACACUCUUGAGAGACCAUUUAAGGAGUUCUUUUUUUGUGAAGAUAUGUUAUAUAUUUACCGUUUAUAAGCCAAGAAUUAUACAUAUAAGCAACAUGAGUCUUCAAUGUUCAUUUCAACUUGUUAAAGUUUAUGGUCAAGAAUCAGUACCUUACGGAAGUCCUCUAUUGUAUGAUGAGCAACAUCCUCCUCAAGAGACUUCUUAUGAAGAGCAUGAUAAGCCUUUCUCGUAGCAAACAAUUGUUCAGAGGACCUAGUGUAUGCUAUUUCCACCAGCACCUGAUUGCUUGAAGUCCAUCUCUCAGUUGCUUCGUUUGCCAAAAAUGCAUCACGUUUAGCGGAAUCAAGGGCCCAAACGUGAACCAGCCUCUCGUGAGGAGAAAAUUCAUAGUGCAUAUCAGUUUUAUACACUCAAAAUAAUAUGCAUUUGUGAUAUUAUCAGUUCUCAUUUCGAAACAAUUUGACAUCAUGUCACACACAGUUAAUCAGCUUAUUAAGUCUUCUUGGCUAGUUGGCCCUUAAGCUAGGUUUUAACUAUACUAAUGUAUUUAAAUUUCAUUUAACCAUGACUUAGGCUUUAAGAUAAAAUCAGUGUGAUAUGUUGCACAAUCAAUUAAAUAUUGCACAUCUAGGCAUGUACAUGUACAUCCACAGGUAUCAACAACAACUACAAUAAAGGCCUUUACCAAUCAGUUGGGUUUGAUUAUGAGGAUCUAAACAAUGAUGUGACUCAUUUCACAAAUCAUGUCUAAAGACAUACCAUCUUGGUUUGGUUUUAGAUAUUUCAUAACUAUUUGACCUACACUUUUAUGUACCUCAAAGUCACUGGCCAACUCUUUGUCCAAGGCCUUGAGAAGAUCUUCUCCAUAAGUUUCAGCAUAAGUUUCCCUGAUAGGCUUCCUUUGAGCAGUAUUCCGAUGACCCAAGAUCGAUAGAUCAGAUCCUCAUUAGUUCCCCAUCCUGCAAUCACAUUAGAAUACUUGAUUCACUUGAAAAUCCUAACAAAUGGAACCAGGAAAUGUGUUGAGCAUCGAAAAGAAAGAUCACACAACACAAAGCAAACCUGCACAAAGUUAAGUAUUUCUAUAAUUUAAAGUUACAAUGACCGUGAAAACACUGUGGUCAUUGAAAACUAUUGAAGAACUUAUUACCAUACUUUUGCACCCUUGUACUUGCUGCAUGGUUCCACAAAUAGCUUUGGUAGCUAUGUACAUACCUAAAAAUAUAUAAGCAAUGAAAUUAUAAGAUGAAGAAGAUCAAUAUUAUCCUUCAAAUAAAUAAUCUCAAAUAACAUCUCUAUUUGUUUUCAUAGCACACUUGACUUUGCACAUCACAGUAAAAGAUCACCAGAUAGACAGCCUGUAAGGUCCACUAAGAAACUUCAUAGGAAUUUCUUUCGUAUUUUCCUAGCUUUCAAAUUUUAUUUAUUCAUUUGUGUGUGGACUUCACUGUUUUGUAUUAAAAUACUAAAACAUUUCAUCAUAAAGCAAAAUAACCUAAUGUAAGCAAGCUCAAUGAAUUUAAUGUGAACUCAGAUGUGUACCAAGAUUUCAAAUAAAACAGUACUUUGCGCACUCUAAUUGCUUUGUCGAUCUCCAAGUUGACCUAUGAACACAGAAUCUGAUAAAAAAAAACAAACAAACGAACACAAAGAAAUCAUGUAAGUAAUUAUUCUGGCCAACCGAAAGAGAAGAUGAGACCAAAAUAGGGUAAAAUAAAAAAUGGUGCAAUGAAAAAAAGGAAUGACAUUAGGGAUAGCACCAUUGGCAGAAAGAGUGCAUAUUCCUCUUGGACUCUUCUGUGCGAAUGACAUAAUCUUUCCAGCAACAUCCUGCAAAGUAAUAAAGUAAGAUAUUUUUCUAGCAAAUCAAUGCUAUAUAGAUCUGUUCAAAUUUCUAUUUGAAUUUUAUGAAUCCAUAAGGCUAACAAAGUCUGCUGGUUUCAGCAUUACCUCUCCAGUAUAAACAGUCACCACAUGCGGUGUGAAAUCCCCAGCAGCAGAGCUUGCAAAAAACGUCAACUUCAAAGAGUCUUGCAAUCAGGGACCUCAUCUUCAACCCCUGAAGAACCAAAGACAAAUUAUGACAAAACAUCCAAAAUCUAUCAAUAAUGGAAAUCUAUCCCACCGUCUUAUGUUGAAUUGAAGGCAAAAUCGCAUCAAGCUAUUAUCUAUCUAGAUCAAAUAAAUAGAACCAAAUAUCUCAAUGCCUUUUGUGUUGAUUUCCAUGACUCUGCCCCUAACAGCUCCCUAACUUGUAACAAAUCUUGUGCAUGAACCCGGGCUCCAUUCUGUGCCUCUUCAACUGUCAUAGCAGGGGCCAUACAUGCAAAGUCAGAUGCAUUUGCACUCUGUGUACUAAAAAUGCCCUCUCCACCCUAAAUCAAGGAAGCCAUGGCUGCUAAAACCCCCACCCUUCUACUAAUUUUCAGUGAAAGUUCCUUCUGCUGGGAAUGCUGGAAAGAAGGUUUGACACACAAUUUGUAUUUGUAUGUUGGAAGCAAGUGUGUCAAGUUAGGUUACAGUAUGAAUGAUCUCAACACCAUUGUUCUGUGAACUCACCCCAGACAACAAUAUGAAAUGCAUUAAUUACUUCAUAGUAAUUACUAUUUAGUAGUCAAAAAUUCAAACCAGUGUAUUUCUAAAAGAACACAGUUUUAUAUGAUUGAAGUAUUGAACAUGAACACAUGAUGCUUGAUGAUGAACACAAAUAACACGACAUAAAGAAAGAAAAUUGAAUCGACCCAAAUGAAAUUCAAUUCAAAGUUUAUUCCUUUCUGCAAAUAGAACAACAUACCUCUUUUCAAGGAAUCCGCCCACUAUGUUCAGACACUAUCUCGAAUCCCCAUAACCUUCAUCAUCACAAUCGUGGGCAAAACUCAAACUGGCUCGCCCCUUCCGUCACCGUGGCGCGCUCCGUUGGAGGAAGAGGACGGAGAAUGAAGCGCUCUCACCGUGUGGUAUAGGCUUCUUGCAAAGGAAAACGGUGAGAAUUGAGAGAAAGGGAAAUUGAUGCGAAUAGGGAGUGAGAAACGGUGUUUGUUGAUGAGUGUGGUGAUACACAGUUUCUGCCCAAUUUAUAGAAGGGAAAUUCACAGAUCCGAUUUCCCCAAGAGUUUUGAAUUCAAAUUCAACAUUUACAUUUAGCUGUUCUGUAAUUCUUGCAGGGGAACGUGGCCGGAUAAAGGCCUUUACUGAAUCAAGCGAGAUCCGUAAUGGACAUUUAGCAAAUCUGUGCACAACGCAAUGGGGAAAUCGGCAAAAACGUGUGUGCUUUUUGCAGGUGGUUGGGAUAAUCUUCAGCUGCAAAUGUCUGACCUUCUGACAAAUUAUCAAUUCUGUGAUCCUUUCAAGGGAAUAUGGUCGAAAUCGUGCUCUUAAACUUUACAGGUAAGCUUAAAGUUGAAAAGGGUAUGCAGAAGAAAACAGGGAAGUGAAGUGAGAAAAGGGUGUGGGGAAGGAAUUGCUUGAAGUUUGACACGUGGACAUGCUCUUAGAGGAUGACACAUCAGAUUUUUGUCUUCCUUAAGCACUUGUGCUUUGUAUCUAGUAUAGACUAGUAUAGAUAGACUAGUAUAGAUUCCAAACCAAAAAAAUCUAGUUUAUUCACAAUGACUGAGAUACUCGCAUACCUGUUACUGUUGAUUCUCUUCUUCAUCUUUCCACUUCUCUUCUUCUUCUUCUUCUUCAAAUCUUCUUCUCCUUCUUCACCUACCAAUACCAACACCAUCACUCUCCCCAAAGCAUACCCACUCAUCGGUUCCUACCUCGCCAUCAAAGCCAACGCCCACCGCCGCAUACAGUAUUUCUCCGACCUUGUCCAAAUCUCCCCCGCCGCCACCUUCACCUUCCACCGCCCACUAGGCCGCCCCACAAUCUUCACCGGCAACCCCGCCACCGUACAACACAUCCUCAAGACCCAUUUCUCCAAAUACCAGAAGGGCAGCACCUUAGUAACCACCCUCUCCGACUUCCUCGGCUCCGGAAUCUUCAACACCGACGGCGAGAAUUGGAAGUUUCAACGACAAGUCGCCAGCCAUGAAUUCAACACCAAGUCUCUGCGGAAUUUCGUCGAACACGUGGUGGACGCAGAACUCUCCAACCGCCUCGUCCCAAUUCUCGCCGGUGCGGCGGAAAACAAAACCACCCUCGAUUUCCAGGACAUUCUCCAACGGUUCGCAUUUGACAACAUCUGCAAAAUCGCGUUCGGAUUCGACCCGGAGCUUCUCACGCCGUCGGCGGAACGGAGCGAGUUCGCCAGAGCUUACGAAGAAGCAAGAGAAAUCAGCUCCAGACGAUUCCGCGGCCCGUUACCGUUGAUUUGGAAGAUCAAGAGGAAGCUCAACAUCGGAUCGGAGAAGAAGCUUCGAGAAGCGGUUAGCGUGGUUCGUGAAUUCGCGAAGAGGAUUGUGAGAGAGAAGAAGCGAGAUCUGGGAAAGAAGGAGGCGGUGGAAUCGGUGGAUAUGUUAUCGCGGUUUCUGAAAUCGGGUCACUCCGAUGAAGAUUUCGUGACGGAUAUUGUGAUUAGCUUCAUUCUGGCGGGGAAGGAUACUACGUCGGCGGCGCUGACGUGGUUUUUCUGGCUGCUGUGGAAGAAUCCGAGGGUGGAGGAGGAGGUGGUGAGGGAGAUAAGGGAGAAGAGUUCGGAGGAGGGGAAGGUGUUUGAGGAAGUGAAGGAGAUGGUGUACACGCACGCGGCGUUGUGUGAGAGCAUGAGGUUGUACCCGCCGGUGCCGAUGGACACGAAGGAGGCUACGGAGGACGACGUUUUACCGGACGGCACGGUGGUGAAGAAGGGGACGCUGGUGACUUACCACGUGUAUGCGAUGGGGAGGUUGCCAAGCUUGUGGGGGGAUGAUUGGGCCGAGUUUCGACCCGAGAGGUGGUUGGAGAGAGAGGAUAUGAAAACGAAUCCGUCACCACAAACCUCAUUUCAAAAGUGGAGGUUUGUGGCCAGGGAUUCGUUUUCCUAUCCGGUGUUUCAGGCGGGGCCUAGGGUUUGUUUAGGGAAGGAAAUGGCGUUUUUGCAAAUGAAGAGGUUGGUGGCUGGGAUUCUCAGCCGCUUCACGGUGGUGCCGCUGCCGCACCUGGCGGAGGACCCUAAUUUUAUUGCCUUUUUGACUUCUCAAAUGGAAGGCGGUUUCCCCGUCACCAUCCACCACAGGAUUCCUUCUCCUUGAGAUUUAAAAAAGAAAAUAAUGCUGGUUGGUGUACGUCACUUGACUAGCUAGAUUACACAUUGUGUGAUUUGAUUUGUUUGUCUCUUGUUGUUGUUGUCAAAUGGUACUGUCAAUUCUUCUUCUAGAUACUCUUGUCAAUAAUCCUGUAUUAAUUUCUUCGCAUGAUGAAUGGAACAAUAAAACAUAAAUUAAGAAAGGUCUAGGAAUCUAUACUCUAUACUGAUUAGUGAUCAUCACAUUACAAAAACAGCUUCAACUAUAACUUUUUCUUCAUUAAAAUAAAAAAACAAUACUAGGUGUGUGCUCACCUAAGAAUUUUUUAUAAUUAGUUGUGCUCAAAAUAUGAAAAUAAUUAAUGUAUUAAUAUUGCAUUUACUAGUAAACAUUUAAAAAGAACUUGUGCUGUCAUCACCCCAUUGGCUGAUAGGGGGAUCAGUCACUAAUGCACCCAUUUAAGAUGUUUCCAGGCAUUGACAAAAUAUGUGCACUAAUAAAUGUGUUCAUCUAUUCGAUUAAUUACUUUCAUAACCUGAUUAGACUUUUGAUCCUAGCAAAGAACAACUAGUCAUGAAGAGAACAACUAGUCAUGAAGAUAAGACUUCUAUUGGUUUUAAUUUUUUUAUAUAUCUUGUGUAUGUUUAGACUUUGAUAUAUAAGUUGAGUGUAUAUAACUUGAACAAACCUUCAUCUUAAUUUAUAAAAAAAUUGAUUUUUUUAAUUUUAAAGUGCAUGCUAAUAUUUAUUUACAUAAUGUUGACAUGUAUUACAAACAGUUGCGAGUUAAACAAAAUUGGCCUAGUUGGUGGGUCCAAUCGAGAAUUAGUAGGUCUAGUUCGUCUAAAGAUCUCGAAAACGAAUACUAUAAAUGAUUGUUAUACGAGUAAAUUGAAUGGCUAGAACAAUGAAUGCUAAAGAUAACAUCUCUCGUAUCACACGCUAAGUAUGAUGAUGGAGAAUAGGAAUAGAACAUAGAGUGUUGAAUACGCAAAAUGUUACUAUUAGGGAUUGGAUUGUGUGUUGGUUUUAUCUGAGACAUUGUGUUCAUAUAAAAUGAUUUUUUUGAUUGUUCAUAUAAAAUGAUAAACCUUAAAGAAUGUAUGCUCACUUGCAUCCUAGCAUUGGGUUUGAAUUGCUUUAAUUAGUUCUCUCAGUCUCCUAGGUUUUACUUUGCGAAAAAGAAUGAAAUAUUAUAUUUUUAUGAUUCAAUGGUACUUAAGUACGAAAAGUACAUUCAGGAUUGAUUUACUAACUUCUCUUAAUCAUUGUAUCUUUAAGAAGGAAAAAGAUUCAUACACAUCUAAAUUACACCUCUACUUUAGUGAAUGAGAGAUAAAAGAGUGACAUGUAUAUAAUAGUAAAAAAUAAAGUGAAAGAGAGUGAUUUAUAAAAGUAAUUUUAGAAAGUCUUCUUAAGUGAAAGAUUUAUACAAAAGACUAAUCUCUUAUGAUACUUCUUUAUGAUGCACUUUCAAUAUUUUUUUUUUUCAACAAGAUAAAAAUUGAUUAUAAGUCUUAUUUCCAUUCUCUUAUGAUACGUCGAUUUGGAUGUCAUCUGAGAAUGCGUUCGAAGGCAAGUCAAGGAACCGGAUGGAGACAGAGAGGUGGGAGGGAACCGUACGUACCAAAGAGGAGAUUUUGGGGGAUGUUGAGAAUCUAAGGUUGGGAGAAGUGGAUGAAUGGCAAUUUAGUUAUUUUACUCAUUCAAUCUCAGUUAUUCAAUUAUUAUAUCAAUGGUGAGAAAAUUUUCAUGCGCAAAUACAUGAUUUACUAGAAAUUAAACCCGUGCGUUGCACGGGUUCAUUUUUAAUUUGUAUUUUUUAACUGUAAUAUUUAAAUUUGCAGAAAGGUAAGAAAGCUAUUAUUUAGAAGAAGAUUUAGAAUAUAUGUAUAAUUAAAUAUAAUUGAGUUAUGAUAUUCUCACACUUUCUUUCUCUAAUAAGGGAAAAAAGGAUCAAACAGGUAGAUUUCUUUUUUUUUUGCUUCAUCGGAAGAAAAAAUAGGUAGACUUCUAUUAAGAUUGAAAUGAGAGUAGUUUUUCUUAAUAUAAAAGAAAUUUAAUUACUUAAUUAGAUUAGUAUUGAAAUGAACGUGGUAGUCUACUAUUUUUUUUUAAUAUUGAUUUAGUCAUUGUAGUGAUGUUAUCAGUUAUGCUAACUUUUUUUAUCAAGAUUGAUGUGGUUGUUUACCAUUGCUGGUGCCUGGUGGCAUAGAAGUUCUUUUAAAAUCACUUUCACGAACAUAAAAAUAGAUUCUAUCUAACUGCAGGAUGGACAUCAUUUGUUCCCUUUGAAUGAUUAAGUUGCUAUUUUUUUUUCCAUAAUAUGACAAUAUUGAGGAGUGAAAGAUUCCUAUUUCUUAUUAAGAAUAUAGUGAGUACUACAUUUUACACUUAUCUUUCUAGUGCAGUAUAUAAAUUUAUGUGGCUCACACUUUAUUACUGAUUUGUGUCAUAUAAAUAUAGAAAUGAUGAUAUAUUUGUAUGAUUUCAAUUGAAUGAGAAGAAUUGUUUAGUAAAUUACCAUAUAUGUGAAACUCACAGUUUUAUUUUCCAAUCAUCUGCAACGGGGAUAUAUCACUAAGUAAUGUGUGUUUCUUGUUGUUGUUGAUGAUCUUUCUCCUGCAAUAAAGAAAUAAGAAUGAGUAAUUUAAAAAAGCAAUUUUGAAAUUAAAUAAAAUAAUUAAAAAUGACAUACUUGUUGAAGUAGUUAGAGACAAUUGUCAUUUUUUUCUCACCAGCAGCUGAAGUCUAAGAAAUAUGAAUAAUUUGAGUUUGUGAGUGAUUUUACUGGUUUGUUUAUAUAGAGAUAUAAUAGAUGCAUGGUUUAAUAUAAUACAUUUCAUUUUUUAUUUAUUUAAUGUACAUAGUUUAAUAGCCUCCUAACAUUAACAAUUUUAUUCAGUUUUUGACACUCGUAUUACCAUCAUGCCACUAUUUUUAAUUUAAUGUUAGUUUUUCUUCGGAGUUACUAUGUUAAGGAAUUCUAAGAGUUUGUGAGUUUAAGAAAAAUAGACAUAUAUUCCUGCAUAAAAUUGGACAGCAAACUAAGACCAUUGCAUAUCAAGAUUAAUUUUGGCGGAAGUAUGCUUUAUUGUUAAUAGUUUUUUUUUCUUGGACUAAAUUGAUAUUAGUUUAAAAUUAACAUUUAAUUUAAUUUUAAUUUAAGGUACUGUGCUAAAACCAUUUGCAGAUAUAAUUUUGUGGUCUGUUACACUUUUGGCAUGAAUGUUACUCUUUUGCUUAUACAUUUGGUAUUUAUUAAGUUUAAAACUGAAACCAUCAGUGCACAAGUUUCCACUACCCGUUCAUUCACUCACUAAGCUAUCUCAUUAAAACACCAGUUUUUUUAUUAAUGUAUGUAGGUUCUCAUGUGUAUUUGUACUUAAUACUUAGCUCAAGUGAGCUUUACUAAUAUAUAUAGAUUAGAUAAUGUAUCGUAACCAACGUUAUUAAUUUCAACAUAAACUUGAAUAAAAAUUUGGACAUCUUGCAGCUACAUAAAAAGUUAUUGAAUUGGAAAAGUUUAUCUCAUGAGUCAUGACAUUUCUCUCCAAAUAAUACAAAGAUCAUUUUGCUAGAAAUUGAAAAGUCAAGAUGAUACAACAUACAACUAACUUUUCUUACCGAUAUAGGUUGAUACAUCUUUGAACUUGUAUAUGAAAUUGUGGAAUUGCAAGUGUAAAGUUUUUGUCCUCUUCCAAUCCUCAUUUUCUUCCCACUAUUCUCUCUAAAACGAAACACAGCGUAACAAAUUCUCCCCUAAUCAAAACACGCUUCAUUCUGCAGCAUUUGUCAUAAUUAGAAAGAAGGGAAGAUGGAGGGAAUAGAGCACAGGACAGUGGAAGUGAACGGCAUCAAAAUGCACAUUGCAGAGAAAGGACAAGGCCCUGUGGUGCUAUUCCUCCACGGCUUCCCUGAGCUCUGGUACUCUUGGCGCCACCAGAUCUUGACUCUCAGCUCCCGCGGAUACCACGCAGUGGCUCCCGAUCUCAGAGGCUACGGUGACACCGAUUCCCCUAUUUCAAUAACAACCUAUACAUGUUUUCACAUAGUGGGUGACAUCGUUGCACUCAUAGACCAUUUGGGUGCCAAACAAGUCUUCCUUGUAGCUCAUGAUUGGGGAUCCAUCAUCGGUUGGUACCUCUGCAUGUUUCGCCCUGAAAGAGUGAAAGCCUAUG
This 25176-nucleotide long non-coding RNA is filed under the name Lotus japonicus. RNAcentral's name for it is "long non-coding RNA (LJAP_LNC001290)". The record is from RNAcentral. Lineage: Eukaryota; Viridiplantae; Streptophyta; Magnoliopsida; Fabales; Fabaceae.